CAGCGCCACCUCUGCUUCCCGAUCGCAACCCUCUACUUUCUCCACAACAACUUUCCCCACUUCAUCUUCUCCAAAUUAAGUCCAUUAAAUUGUGGAAGUGGAAAGGAUGCAGCUAUAUAUUUACAUGGGGGCCGUCGAUCGAUCACAUCAGAGUCAAUAAGACGAGACGUGGAGGUUGAGAUUCAAGUCAAGGUUCAGACCAGCGGCGGAGGCGGAGCGGCGGCUCGUCGGCGCGGCGGCCUUCGCGGUGGUCGUGGUUCAGGUAAAGGUUCGGAUCGGCGGAAGAGACGGAGCGACGGCUCGCCGGCGCGGCGGCCUCCUCGAUGGUCGUGGUUCAGGUAAAGAUUCGGAUCGGCGGAAGAGAUGGAGCGACGGCUCGCCGGCGUGGCAGCCUCCUUGGUGGUCGUCCUCCAUCUGUUGGUGUUGCUGCUCGGCGCGGAGGCCUCCUCGGUGGUCGUGGUUCAGGUAAAGGUUCGGAUCAGCGGAAGAGACGAAGCGACGGCUCAUCGGCGCAGCGGCCUCCGCGGUGGUCGUGGUUCAGGUAAAGGUUCGGAUCGUCGGAAGAGACGGAGCGACGGCUCGCCGGUGCGGCGGCCUCCUUGAUGGUCGUGGUUAAGGUAAAGGUUCAGAUCGGCGGAAGAGAUGGAGCGACGGCUCGCCGGCGUGGCAGCCUCCUUGGUGGUCGUGCUACAUCCGUUGGUGUUGCUGCUCGCAGCCAUGGCCUCCUAAUCCCACCGUCUGGUCAGCGGCGUCAGUUCACACCCUGCCGCUGUCUACUUCUGAUGCGUGCUUAUCAAUUUCCUGCACAUUCGCUGCUUAACUCACCCAUGCAUCCGUCCUCUUAUUCUCCUUCGAUGCAGGGCUCCGCGUUGCUCUGUCCUACGCACUACCGUCACCAUCCACACCUAAUCGACUAGGCUGCACUGCAGCAAGCAUUAGCAUCAGCCAAUGGAAUUGCUGGCUUCGUCAAAAGGAGGAUAGCUGCUGCCUCAGAUUUUCAUGGGACAACUGCAUCAUGAUCUGUUGCGAUGAGAAGAGACACUAGCAGUUAAGACUCAAGAGCAUAUGUACACCCGAGAUACCAGAUAAUAUUUAAGUUUCAGAUUUGUUAUUGAUCUGAUAUUUGCUCUAACAGGAUGCAUCACUCAUGUUACUAUACUAAAUUUCUUUGUGAUAUACAAUGCCACCAUCCACUAGAGGUUACUUUUGUCUGGAUGAUAGGGUAAAAAAACUUUUGUCUGCAUUAGUUCUCUUCCAAUCAUUCUCAUAUUUUAACAUUGUGAGUCACUUCGGCAUAUGUGCGCACCCAAGAUUGUUGGAAGUAUGCGCUGAACAGUUGAAGAUGAUACAAAAAUAGUUGAAGAAAGGUCAACGUAUUUCUCCAUCCAUUCCCAUUAGUCUUGCAUCGACCAAAACAUAGUACUAUGAAACAGCAUGCAUAUAUUGUUUGAAGAAUGUUGCCAAAAUUCCAGUGGAUAAGCAUAAGGUUCAGUUCUACACCUUUAGUCUAAUUAUAUCCGGCUAUGCGAAAUCGGUAAGAUUUAAUUCAUUGUUCUCUCUUUAUUGUCACAGCUGUUAGGUUUACGUACACGUUGUUGUUUUGGAACAGGUUAUCAUUACUUCCCAAACCAGGACUAUUACAGACUUACAAUUUUAAUUAAAAAAAGAUAUAAUGCAUAAUAUGCAGAUGGAUUGUCAUGUUUAUUUAUUGACUCAAAGUUCAUCACCAUGCUAAAUUUAACAGCUUUCUCCCAUGAAUGGUAUUGCAUUAUUAAGUAAAAAUUGUUUCACCAUUUUAUUUCAUUAUGAUACUUAUUUUUCACGCUAAUUGUUUUAUAAUAUUACCUUAACUAAAUGUAAUAAAGGUUGAUUUUGUGUGUGCAGGAUUUAUGGUACAAAUUGAAUUGGCAAUUUCUGCUCUCACCAUCAUCAACUCUUCUUACCUUAUCCUAUUUUCGGUCUAUUUAUUUGUUCUUUGUGGGCAAGAUGUUUCCGGUGCACAAAUGGUUGGUGGUGUCACUAUAUUUUGUCAAUGCGAACUGAAACAAGAAAUGUUCAUAUGUUUUUGAAAGGAAAUGUUAUGUAUUUUUCUAGCCAAUUGUGCAUUGUUCAAUCUCAUGAAAUAGUUUUAUUUUAGCUGAGAGACGACAUGGUUAACAAGAAUAUCCAAAUCCUUUGUAUUU
Molecule: long non-coding RNA, 2183 nt
Organism: Triticum dicoccoides
Lineage: Eukaryota; Viridiplantae; Streptophyta; Magnoliopsida; Poales; Poaceae
Exons: 2
Source: RefSeq, a predicted model, not a curated record